GUAAUCAAAAGCCCAUUAAUUGUGGGCCAGCAUGAAGGAUGGAAUCUAUAGCUUUUUUCCUUAAUCUAAACUUGAAUUUAAAAGCAGAUUAAAAACCCUGCUUAUAAAGGCAGACGAGAAGACCCUAAAAGCUAAUUGAAUCCAAUUUUUUGGGGAAAACUAAGUUAAGGAUCUAACUCUUAGAAACUAAAAAAACUAAAAAAAUAAGCUACUUUAGGGAUAACAGAGUAAUUUUUUAUUAAAGAACGCAUUUAUUGAAAAGAUUACGACCUCGAUGUUGGAUUCCUAAAUCUAAAGGCCGCAGCAGGCUAAAAAGAAUAGACUGUUCGUUUUUUAAAUCAGG
This 343-nucleotide ribosomal RNA is filed under the name Tetra pinnatifidae. RNAcentral describes it as "partial 16S ribosomal RNA". It matches the Rfam family "Archaeal large subunit ribosomal RNA", at positions 2033 to 2666 of the family's 2987-position model. The record is from RNAcentral. Lineage: Eukaryota; Metazoa; Arthropoda; Arachnida; Trombidiformes; Eriophyidae.